RNAcentral lists this ribosomal RNA (495 nucleotides) under uncultured bacterium. Its description in RNAcentral is "partial 16S ribosomal RNA". It matches the Rfam family "Bacterial small subunit ribosomal RNA", at positions 28 to 507 of the family's 1533-position model. The record is from RNAcentral.
GACGAACGCUGGCGGCGUGCCUAAUACAUGCAAGUAGAACGCUGAAGGAGGAGCUUGCUCUUCUGGAUGAGUUGCGAACGGGUGAGUAACGCGUAGGUAACCUGCCUGGUAGCGGGGGAUAACUAUUGGAAACGAUAGCUAAUACCGCAUAAGAGUAGAUGUUGCAUGACAUUUGCUUAAAAGGUGCAAUUGCAUCACUACCAGAUGGACCUGCGUUGUAUUAGCUAGUUGGUGGGGUAACGGCUCACCAAGGCGACGAUACAUAGCCGACCUGAGAGGGUGAUCGGCCACACUGGGACUGAGACACGGCCCAGACUCCUACGGGAGGCAGCAGUAGGGAAUCUUCGGCAAUGGACGGAAGUCUGACCGAGCAACGCCGCGUGAGUGAAGAAGGUUUUCGGAUCGUAAAGCUCUGUUGUAAGAGAAGAACGAGUGUGAGAGUGGGAAGUUCACACUGUGACGGUAUCUUACCAGAAAGGGACGGCUAACUACGUG